This is a non-coding RNA of Paramuricea clavata, 458 nucleotides long. NCBI's taxonomy places the organism in Eukaryota, Metazoa, Cnidaria, Anthozoa, Malacalcyonacea, Plexauridae. The record is from the annotation of a GenBank genome assembly.
CAACGACGAUCGUCAGCUCUUGUUGCAUGUGGGAGAUUUGAAGUUGAACGUUUGUAUAUAAACUGAAUAAAGUGCUUUAUUUCAGCGCAAUAUUUCCAUUUUUAUUGGUGUUAUUUAUUGCCAUGGAGGACAAACAAGAUUCAGAUGUGGAUGAUGUAGACAGAGAGAGUUUAGUUAAAGAAAUAGAGUUAAUUCGCCGAACACUUGGCGGUGCAUCGACUCGAGCACACUCAGAUGGUGGUUUUGUCAGCUUUGAUGAUCGAGGCUCUGAAAAAGGUUCUGACGAUUCCGAAGAUGAACUAGGUAUAAGUAAAUUUGUUGUACUUGUGAACAUGUUUCUAUUCAAGUAAUGAUUAAGGUUGUAAAAUGUGCCGCACAUUCUGGUCUCCGGACAGUUUAAUAAAAUAUGCUUGCGCUGAAUUUAUGCAGACUUUACUGAGCAUGUCUUUCAACUGAAG